AUUGUAGAUUAACUGCAAGAGGACUACAGAUUAAUGAUCAAUGCUGUGAAACAACCGUUGUACUCUAAAAGCUUAAGCUGUUAAAGAACGGUGUUUAAACAUUUUUAUAUUUAAAUGGGAGGAAAUUAAUAUACAUAUUUAAAUGGGAGGAAAUUAAUAUACUAGAAGUUAGCUUGAUAUGACUCGAACUCAGGACCUCCUACUCUGAUACCAUGUGAAAUAAUCGUUGUACUCUAAAACUAAAGCUGUUAGAGAACGGUGCUUAAAUAUUUUUAUAUUUAACAAAUGCAUGCAAAAUUGUGCAGGAAUAUGUUUUU
RNAcentral lists this long non-coding RNA (317 nucleotides) under Ananas comosus (pineapple). Its description in RNAcentral is "long non-coding RNA (ACOM_LNC017455)". The record is from RNAcentral. Lineage: Eukaryota; Viridiplantae; Streptophyta; Magnoliopsida; Poales; Bromeliaceae.